AUAUACACGUUGAAAAAGAAGAGUAAUUUAUAAAUCGAUCAAAGAGAGAUGAUGUUUGGUGUAAAUCAUUAUUGAUUUAGAAUGAAGGGAGCUUUUGAGUGUAACGUCUAUUAAAGAAGAAAGAUGGGCUUGAGCCAAGAAGGGUGGAACCGCGGAAUUUAAAUUUCGUCCCUUUG
RNAcentral lists this non-coding RNA (176 nucleotides) under Clostridium sp. RNAcentral's name for it is "T-box sequence". It matches the Rfam family "T-box leader". Rfam says of the family: Uncharged tRNA acts as the effector for transcription antitermination of genes in the T-box leader family. T-boxes are found upstream of many aminoacyl-tRNA synthetase genes and some amino acid biosynthetic genes usually in Gram-positive bacteria. The record is from RNAcentral. Lineage: Bacteria; Bacillati; Bacillota; Clostridia; Eubacteriales; Clostridiaceae.